Molecule: small RNA, 106 nt
Filed under: Methylomonas methanica MC09
Lineage: Bacteria; Pseudomonadati; Pseudomonadota; Gammaproteobacteria; Methylococcales; Methylococcaceae
Description: t44 RNA
Rfam family: t44 RNA
About the family: This family consists of a number of bacterial RNA genes of between 135 and 170 bases in length. The t44 gene is found between the map and rpsB genes in all species in the full alignment apart from Shigella flexneri.
Source: Rfam by way of RNAcentral
AGUUCACUAUGUUUAAUACUCACGUCUGUCGACACGAUUGAUGGGGUGCUGGUUACAGUGGAGACACGGUAACCGGUCAUCAGUCGGGACAGUGCGGAGGCGUAAC